UGGGGAAUAUUGGACAAUGGGGGCAACCCUGAUCCAGCGAUGCCGCGUGGGUGAAGAAGGCCUUCGGGUUGUAAAGCCCUUUAGGUUGGGAAGAAGAGUGGUAGAGGAAAUGCUACUACUUUGACGGUACCGACAGAAUAAGCACCGGCAAACUCUGUGCCAGCAGCCGCGGUAAUACAGAGGGUGCGAGCGUUAAUCGAAAUUACUGGGCGUAAAGGGCGCGUAGGCGGUUUAAUGUGUGGGAUGUGAAAGCCCUGGGCUUAACCUAGGAAGUGCAUACCAAACUAUUAGACUGGAGUAGAGGAGAGGGCGGCGGAAUUUCCGGUGUAGCGGUGAAAUGCGUAGAUAUCGGAAGGAACGUCAAUGGCGAAGGCAGCCGCCUGGCCUCAUACUGACGCUGAGGCGCGAAAGCGUGGGGAGCGAACA
This 426-nucleotide ribosomal RNA is filed under the name uncultured Aquicella sp. RNAcentral describes it as "bacterial SSU rRNA". It matches the Rfam family "Bacterial small subunit ribosomal RNA", at positions 355 to 774 of the family's 1533-position model. Lineage: Bacteria; Pseudomonadati; Pseudomonadota; Gammaproteobacteria; Legionellales; Coxiellaceae. The record is from RNAcentral.